RNAcentral lists this ribosomal RNA (464 nucleotides) under Vreelandella stevensii. RNAcentral describes it as "partial 16S ribosomal RNA". It matches the Rfam family "Bacterial small subunit ribosomal RNA", at positions 338 to 794 of the family's 1533-position model. Lineage: Bacteria; Pseudomonadati; Pseudomonadota; Gammaproteobacteria; Oceanospirillales; Halomonadaceae. The record is from RNAcentral.
CCUACGGGAGGCUGCAGUGGGGAAUAUUGGACAAUGGGCGAAAGCCUGAUCCAGCCAUGCCGCGUGUGUGAAGAAGGCCUUCGGGUUGUAAAGCACUUUCAGUGGGGAAGAAAGCCUUGGGGCUAAUACCCUCGAGGAAGGACAUCACCCACAGAAGAAGCACCGGCUAACUCCGUGCCAGCAGCCGCGGUAAUACGGAGGGUGCGAGCGUUAAUCGGAAUUACUGGGCGUAAAGCGCGCGUAGGCGGUCUGAUAAGCCGGUUGUGAAAGCCCCGGGCUCAACCUGGGAACGGCAUCCGGAACUGUCAGGCUAGAGUGCAGGAGAGGAAGGUAGAAUUCCCGGUGUAGCGGUGAAAUGCGUAGAGAUCGGGAGGAAUACCAGUGGCGAAGGCGGCCUUCUGGACUGACACUGACGCUGAGGUGCGAAAGCGUGGGUAGCAAACAGGAUUAGAUACCCGGGUAGU